Long non-coding RNA from Helianthus annuus (common sunflower), 1731 nucleotides. RefSeq lists it as uncharacterized. The transcript has 5 exons. The record is from RefSeq and is a predicted model, not a curated record. NCBI's taxonomy places the organism in Eukaryota, Viridiplantae, Streptophyta, Magnoliopsida, Asterales, Asteraceae.
UAGCAGGUGGUUACUUCCAUCUUUCUCUGCCCAUUAUCCCCACAACUCAGUCUCCUAGAAACCUGGUAGUGCUCUCAAAUUCAGUUAAUGCUUGCAAUCAGUUGACGACGGUUCCCCACGCUCCCGUAAUUGUUGGUCUGAUGAAUCUGUUCUCACCCACCUAUAAAUCUGUCGUCGCAUCUCUACAAUAAUUAUGAAUUGCCAGAUCAAAAGGAAAAAAUAGGUGAAUGAAGAUAGUAGACACGUCCCUACGAUUGAAGGAGCGAGCAGGGUUCGAUUUAAUUGGUCUAGGGCCAUACACGUGAGCUCAAGAUGUUCUUCCAAUUGUUGUUACAAAAAUCACCCCUGGAUUGGUCAUGCUUAAGGUUUGAUUAGAAAUAUUUGAAACCUUGAGCAGAAGAAACCAAAAUAGCUUUCUCCAAAGUCAACGAAAUCGUUUCCUCAAAUCCCCUCCUCAUAUCCAGGUUUCCCCUCUUUCCAUUAUGAUUAUGAUUCAAUAUUUUAGAUUUUGUUUAUGUUGUUUUGGUUAUCCACUUUCGUUUAGCUUAUUCUGACCAACUUAGAUUUUGUGAGUAUGAUUGUGUUUAUACAUGAAUCACACUUGCUUGAUUUUAAUUGACUUGCUAAUUUAGCUUCUUUUAACAAUUUAAUGCUUGGGCAGAAUUUUCGUUUUGGUACAACAAUAUGGAGUCUCAAUGGUUAUUAUAUUUUUAAAAUGGUGUCUUUAUUUUUAAUUUUGAGUGUCCAACAAAAGCACAGUAUAAUCUUUUAAAGUUAAAUUGGUUUUAACUUCAAAAUAUUAGGGCCAUCUCAUGGCACAUCAUGAAUCUGGCAUGCAGAAUGGUGAACAAAAUGCCACCAUCUCUAUUAGGUUGUCCGGUUUGGAGUGGUGCCCUUUAUCACAUUUGCACAAUGGCGCCCCAAACACCACCUUACCAUAGCCAAAGAGGGCGCCACUGAAGUUAAAAGCGGAGCGAUGCGCGAGAGGGUGAGCAUGUGGGGCCAUUUGUUUUUUAUCCAAUCAUAAUUUAUUUUUCUUUAACUUCUUUUUUUGUUUUAGUUAAAAGCGGUUUUAUGCCACACCGUGCAAGUUAACAAUAAAUCCCCCCGCUUAUGUGUCGCCUACGUGUUGCCUAAACGGGUUUCGGUAAAUCUUGGGUUCGGGUUGAAAUGGUGGGUUGACCUGUUUUUUUUUCUUUAAAUUAUGUUAUAACUUAAAAUGACUACGUACAUUAUGCCAAAUUUAAGUAUUAAAACGGAAAUUUACAUUAUAUUUGGUUCAAAACAAUCAUUAAAUGGUUUUCAUCGGUUCUGGUAAUUAUAAAAGUCUCCAGCUUAGCUUCGUUACGAAGGUGGAAGCGAUUUGAUAUGGUUGGGCUAUUAUGACCAUAUAAACUUUUAUUUAGUUAUUUUAUGGGAAUCUAUUAUGAAAUUUUAAUCCUUCUGUGAUUGGUUAUUUAGACAAUUUAUUUCAGCAUUACAUUUUUUAUGAGAACUAUAAUGAGUGCAUUCAAAGGCUCGCUAGAACCGAACACAUCAUUAGGAGGUUUCCCUGGUAACAAUUACUAUAAAACGUGUAUUAUUAUAACUUAUUCGUGAACAUCGUCGAUAGGGAAAGCGAAGAAACUAAAAAAGUUGUGACGUGGGAGAAGGCCGCCUUCAUUCAGUUGAUAGAGGUGCCAGUACAAGAUCUACAGAUAAUUAUGGCCCUGGUACAGGUACGUGGACACU